UACCUUCGUUUCACCUGUUCAAUGAAGA
This 28-nucleotide non-coding RNA is filed under the name Mus musculus (house mouse). The record is from RNAcentral. Lineage: Eukaryota; Metazoa; Chordata; Mammalia; Rodentia; Muridae.